UGUUCAGCAAGCAUAUGCAAACACACAUCUCUAAGUAAAGCCUUAUCAAGAGUUCGAAGGUGAGCAACAGUACACACUCACCUCACUCUACUUACCAAUUGUAAUCUUCAACUUUUUCAGUAAUUUUAUUAAAAUGCCAUUUUUUUAUUAAUUUUGUAUACAUUUAUUUGUUAUAUUUUAAAUUUUCAUAAUCAUCACAUUCUCUUCUACAUCUUCUCACAAGUGUCAGUUGCAUAUUCAUAUACUAAAUAUAUAUGUAUGUAUGUAUAUCUAUAAUAUGUUCAUAAAUUAAAGAAGUUGAAUUAAUGGUUGUAUGUAUUUAAUUUGCAUGUAAAUAUAUACUAUGCAGCACAUGAUUUCAGUUAGAGGUCAUAACUACAGCUAACACACUGACUUACGCUUACAGCGUAAAUGCAUGCAUAAACUAUUAUUUACCCGUUAUGCUUUACUUUUAUGUUUGAAUUUUUGAAAAUGAAAAUAUUCGGAAAUAUUUUUGAAAUUUAUUUUUUAAACAAAAUUAUUUCUGUGGCUAUGAGUCAGCCUAAAAGUAUGCUUUAAUUUGAUAUUCGAAUUUUCGAAAAUGUUUUUGAAAUUUAUUUUUUAAAUAAUAUUAUUUCAGUUUUUGAGUCAGCCUGCUUUAGUUUCAUAUUCGAAUUUUUCAAAACGAUGGUAUUCGAAAAUAUUUUUGAAAUUAAUUUUUUAAACAACAAAAAAUGGUAUUUUGAUAUAAUUUUUGUUAACUUUAACAUUCGAAAAAAUAUAUUUUUUUAAUUUUUUAAACAAAAAAUAUAUGCCAUAUCAAGUUUAUUGCAUGUGAUAACGGAACUUUCCUGACACAAAACGAUUUUUAUGCACUGAAAAUGCUUGGGUCCUUGUAAAAAUUGUAUGGUUUCUCUAUCUUAUGCUUAUAAUUUUACACAUAUUUUACGUAUACUUCACGGUUUCAGCAGGUAUAAAAGUAUGUUUGUUUGUAUUGGUGAUAUUUUUUUUUCAUAUUAAAAAAUAUUAUUUUAUUAAUUAUUAAUCAUGAACGCCAGCAGCGAAAUCUUGUUUGAAAUAAGUAAUUAUGUUUUCUCAGUUUUUCGAAAAUAUUUUUUAAAACCAAAAAACAAAAAAUAUUUUCAAAGCUCAGAAAAAAGUAUUUUCGAAAUCAAAAAAAAAAUUUAUCCACAAAAUGUUUUAAAAACAAAAAAAAAAAAAAUAUUAAAACCAAAAAAAAAAUAUUCUUUAAAACCAAAAGAAUUUUUUUUAAGCAAUAAAAAACAUUUUUUUGAAUUUUUUUGAAAUUUUUUUUACCCACAACUUUUUGCAUUUUUUUAUACAAUUUUAUGGAGUCACCAUGCAAGUAUCGCUGUAAAAAUAAGUUUUAUUAACAUUUUCGUAUUCUAAGACUUCCCUAAAGUGCCGUUAUGCCUAUGCUUACAUUACUUUUGUUUUCAGUAUUGUUUAUUUAUUUUUUUU
Molecule: long non-coding RNA, 1461 nt
Organism: Bactrocera dorsalis (oriental fruit fly)
Lineage: Eukaryota; Metazoa; Arthropoda; Insecta; Diptera; Tephritidae
Exons: 2
Source: RefSeq, a predicted model, not a curated record